This 465-nucleotide ribosomal RNA is filed under the name uncultured bacterium. RNAcentral describes it as "bacterial SSU rRNA". It matches the Rfam family "Bacterial small subunit ribosomal RNA", at positions 339 to 796 of the family's 1533-position model. The record is from RNAcentral.
CUACGGGAGGCAGCAGUGGGGAAUUUUGGACAAUGGGCGAAAGCCUGAUCCAGCCAUGCCGCGUGAGUGAAGAAGGCCUUCGGGUUGUAAAGCUCUUUCGGUCGGGAAGAAAUAGUUGUGGCUAAUAUCCGCAAUGAAUGACGGUACCGGCAUAAGAAGCACCGGCUAACUACGUGCCAGCAGCCGCGGUAAUACGUAGGGUGCAAGCGUUAAUCGGAAUUAUUGGGCGUAAAGGGUGCGCAGGCGGUUGUAUAAGUCAGAUGUGAAAUCCCUGGGCUUAACCUAGGAAUUGCGUUUGAAACUAUAUGACUAGAGUGUGACAGAGGGGAGUGGAAUUCCAUGUGUAGCAGUGAAAUGCGUAGAGAUGUGGAAGAACACCGAUGGCGAAGGCAGCUCCCUGGGUUAACACUGACGCUCAUGCACGAAAGCGUGGGGAGCAAACAGGAUUAGAAACCCCUGUAGUCC